UUCAUCAGUUGUAUGGAGACAAAAGUUUACAUGACAUGUUUAGUACGUUAAAAUCAACAAGACGUUCCAUUUCAUUUAUCCGUGACAUGUAUAUAAGUUUGUUUGAAUCAAAUAAAUUCUCAAUCGUCAUAUGGUAUUGUAUAUUGAGUUCUAAAUCCAACUAUGUUUCCCUAUUUUCAUGUACAUAACCAUACAUUUCCACUCUAUUCUAAUUGCUUGUUUCGAAUGAAUUCAAAUAAAAGAAGGUUCAACUGCACCAUUGGUCUUCAAACUUUUGACCUUGUUGCGAUCUCUUCUCCAGCCUACAUAUUGUGUAUCGUUCUUGGCCUCCAUCGGACAGAUUCCUUCAUUUUGGUCAAUGCCACAUUCUCAUUCUAUAGGUUAUAAUUAAGGUUGCAGAAGUACAAUGAUCAUUCACAAAUAAUAAUUAAUUUACAACAAUAUAUCGGUUAUUCAAUGUAAACCCGUACAUUUAUAGUGUGUACCGAUUGGGCUGCACUUACUCUCUAUAAUUGGGCUUCCAUUGUAAAGAUAGUUUAUCCCAUGCAAUUUUUUAUAUAAUUUUCACUCAUCCUUAUCUCUAGUUUUGUUUGUGUAGGAAGAUUAGAGAAAUAUAUAAAAUACAUAUCGUAUAAGUAUUAUUUGCUCAUCUCGAUUGAGU
Molecule: long non-coding RNA, 661 nt
Filed under: Olea europaea subsp. europaea
Lineage: Eukaryota; Viridiplantae; Streptophyta; Magnoliopsida; Lamiales; Oleaceae
Source: RNAcentral